AUGAAGAGAUGUGAUGAUCUAAUGAACCAGAAGCAAUCCAUUGGAGCUGUCUUACACAAGGGAACAAAGAAAUCCAAUAUAGAUGAUGUGGUUGCUGUUGCUUUGAAGGAUGCUCCUCAGAAUUUAAAGUUGGUUUCUUCGACUAUCCAGAAAGAUAUUGUGAAAGCUUGUGCGAUAGAAACUGUCAAAGCAAUCAUAGAAGAUCUGGGAGAUGAAUACUUUGCUAUAUUGGUUGAUGAAGAUAUGCAUAGAGAGAAACAAGCAAAAAGAGUCCAGACGGCACUGCAGAAUGGAGAACUUGAAACUGGUAGAGGUUUGAAUCAAGAACUUGGACUUAAACGAGCUGGGGAUACUCGUUGGGGUUCUCAUUUCAGCUCUCUCUUGAAUAUGAUUGUUUUGUUCCCCUCGGUAAUUGAAGUUGUUGAUGAUAAUGCACAAAACGCCAGCAAAGCUCUCGAUAGGAUUAAAGCAAAAGGUGUUUUGGACGCUAUUCAAACAUUUGACUUUGUUUUCAUGAUGCACUUGAUGAAGGACAUUGUGAAUGCCGUGUCGUAUCUUCACACAACCAAAAUAAGGCUACAGGAAAUAAGAAACCAAGGUUGGGAAGGUAUGAUUAAAAAGGUUACUGAUUUUUGCAUUGAACAAGAUAUUGAACUUUCUGAUAUGGAUGCUAUGCAUAUUCCCCGAGGAUCGAAAUCAUAG
This 702-nucleotide ribosomal RNA is filed under the name Triticum aestivum (bread wheat). RNAcentral describes it as "partial small subunit ribosomal RNA". Lineage: Eukaryota; Viridiplantae; Streptophyta; Magnoliopsida; Poales; Poaceae. The record is from RNAcentral.